RNAcentral lists this ribosomal RNA (747 nucleotides) under uncultured bacterium. RNAcentral's name for it is "bacterial SSU rRNA". It matches the Rfam family "Bacterial small subunit ribosomal RNA", at positions 569 to 1307 of the family's 1533-position model. The record is from RNAcentral.
UNGUAGGCGGCUGGUCGCGUCUGUCGUGAAAUCNUCUGGCUUAACUGAGGGCUUGCGGUGGGUACGGNCCGGCUUGAGUGCGGUAGGGGAGACUGGAACUCCUGGUGUAGCGGUGGAAUGCGCAGAUAUCAGGAAGAACACCGGUGGCGAAGGCGGGUCUCUGGGCCGUUACUGACGCUGAGGAGCGAAAGCGUGGGGAGCGAACAGGAUUAGAUACCCUGGUAGUCCACGCCGUAAACGUUGGGCACUAGGUGUGGGGGGCCUUUUCCGGNUCUUCCGCGCCGUAGCUAACGCAUUAAGUGCCCCGCCUGGGGAGUACGGCCGCAAGGCUAAAACUCAAAGGAAUUGACGGGGGCCCGCACAAGCGGCGGAGCAUGCGGAUUAAUUCGAUGCAACGCGAAGAACCUUACCAAGGCUUGACAUGUGCCGGUCUGCUCCGGAGACGGGGUUUCCUCCUUUGUGGGGGCUGGUUCACAGGUGGUGCAUGGUUGUCGUCAGCUCGUGUCGUGAGAUGUUGGGUUAAGUCCCGCAACGAGCGCAACCCUUGUCUCGUGUUGCCAGCACGUUGUGGUGGGGACUCGCGGGAGACUGCCGGGGUCAACUCGGAGGAAGGUGGGGAUGACGUCAAAUCAUCAUGCCCCUUAUGUCUUGGGCUUCACGCAUGCUACAAUGGCCGGUACAGAGGGCUGCGAUACCGUGAGGUGGAGCGAAUCCCUUAAAGCCGGUCUCAGUUCGGAUCGGUGUCUG